AUUGAACGCUGGCGGAAUGCUUUACACAUGCAAGUCGAACGGCAGCACGGGGGCAACCCUGGUGGCAAGUGGCGAACGGGUGAGUAAUACAUCGGAACGUGCCCGGUCGUGGGGGAUAACGUAGCGAAAGUUACGCUAAUACCGCAUACGAUCUGAGGAUGAAAGCGGGGGACCUUCGGGCCUCGCGCGAUCGGAGCGGCCGAUGUCAGAUUAGGUAGUUGGUGGGGUAAAGGCCUACCAAGCCGACGAUCUGUAGCUGGUCUGGGAGGACGACCAGCCACACUGGGACUGAGACACGGCCCAGACUCCUACGGGAGGCAGCAGUGGGGAAUUUUGGACAAUGGGCGCAAGCCUGAUCCAGCCAUUCCGCGUGCAGGACGAAGGCCUUCGGGUUGUAAACUGCUUUUGUAUGGAACGAAAAGGCUCUGGCUAAUACCUGGGGCUCAUGACGGUACCGUAAGAAUAAGCACCGGCUAACUACGUG
Molecule: ribosomal RNA, 484 nt
Filed under: uncultured bacterium
Lineage: Bacteria
Description: partial 16S ribosomal RNA
Rfam family: Bacterial small subunit ribosomal RNA
Source: RNAcentral